This 425-nucleotide ribosomal RNA is filed under the name uncultured bacterium. Its description in RNAcentral is "bacterial SSU rRNA". It matches the Rfam family "Bacterial small subunit ribosomal RNA", at positions 356 to 773 of the family's 1533-position model. The record is from RNAcentral.
AGGGAAUCUUCCGCAAUGGACGAAAGUCUGACGGAGCAACGCCGCGUGAGUGAUGAAGGCCUUCGGGUCGUAAAACUCUGUUGUUAGGGAAGAACAAGUACCGGAGUAACUGCCGGUACCUUGACGGUACCUAACCAGAAAGCCACGGCUAACUACGUGCCAGCAGCCGCGGUAAUACGUAGGUGGCAAGCGUUGUCCGGAAUUAUUGGGCGUAAAGCGCGCGCAGGCGGUCCUUUAAGUAGGAUGUGAAAGCCCACGGCUCAACCGUGGAGGGUCAUUGGAAACUGGGGGACUUGAGUGCAGAAGAGGAAAGCGGAAUUCCACGUGUAGCGGUGAAAUGCGUAGAGAUGUGGAGGAACACCAGUGGCGAAGGCGGCUUUCUGGUCUGUAACUGACGCUGAGGCGCGAAAGCGUGGGGAGCAAAC